GAUGAACGCUAGCUACAGGCUUAACACAUGCAAGUCGAGGGGCAGCAUGGUCUUAGCUUGCUAAGGCCGAUGGCGACCGGCGCACGGGUGAGUAACACGUAUCCAACCUGCCGUCUACUCUUGGACAGCCUUCUGAAAGGAAGAUUAAUACAAGAUGGCAUCAUGAGUCCGCAUGUUCACAUGAUUAAAGGUAUUCCGGUAGACGAUGGGGAUGCGUUCCAUUAGAUAGUAGGCGGGGUAACGGCCCACCUAGUCUUCGAUGGAUAGGGGUUCUGAGAGGAAGGUCCCCCACAUUGGAACUGAGACACGGUCCAAACUCCUACGGGAGGCAGCAGUGAGGAAUAUUGGUCAAUGGACGAGAGUCUGAACCAGCCAAGUAGCGUGAAGGAUGAAGGUUCUAUGGAUUGUAAACUUCUUUUAUACGGGAAUAACGAAUCCACGCGUGGAUUUUUGCAUGUACCGUAUGAAUAAGGAUCGGCUAACUCCGUGCCAG
RNAcentral lists this ribosomal RNA (493 nucleotides) under uncultured bacterium. Its description in RNAcentral is "bacterial SSU rRNA". It matches the Rfam family "Bacterial small subunit ribosomal RNA", at positions 28 to 511 of the family's 1533-position model. The record is from RNAcentral.